Molecule: ribosomal RNA, 238 nt
Filed under: uncultured bacterium
Lineage: Bacteria
Description: partial 16S ribosomal RNA
Rfam family: Bacterial small subunit ribosomal RNA
Source: RNAcentral
UACGGAGGGUGCGAGCGUUGUUCGGAAUCACUGGGCGUAAAGCGCGUGUAGGCGGCCCACUAAGUCUGAUGUGAAAGCCCGGGGCUCACCCCCGGAAGUGCAUUGGAAACUGGUGGACUCGAGUCCCGGAGAGGAGAGUGGAAUUCCGUGGUGUAGCGGUGAAAUGCGUAGAUAUCAGGAGGAACACCGAUGGCGGAAGGCCAGGUCUCUGGGAGCAUUGAACUGACGCUGAGGAGCG